Molecule: long non-coding RNA, 906 nt
Organism: Clupea harengus (Atlantic herring)
Lineage: Eukaryota; Metazoa; Chordata; Actinopteri; Clupeiformes; Clupeidae
Source: Ensembl
GCUGUUAGAUCAAAAGGGGGAGGAGUUGAGCUUCAGAGAGAAUUGACCUUAAUAAGAUGAUAACUGCAGAAUGUGUUUUUUCUCAAAACAGGUUUAGCUGCUGAAUUUCUGACUUCAUCAAAUGAUCCAGGAGCAAUUAAUGAAUUAAGGAAUGCCUUAAAUGGUUUGGCAUUCAAGUGCCAUUGGAAUCUGGAUAAAAAUGGAUUUUAUGAGAUACUUUUGUAACUAACUAACUAACUGUAACGUAACUCUGUUAACAGAUUGAUUCCUUUCUCUUAGGGAUGGACACACCUGUCUCCUGAACAAGCGAAUGAAUGUGUGUGUAUGCCUGUAGGCUGGCCAGCCGUCGUAUGAAUGAAUGAAUGAACUUACAGGACUGUUUAACCUACAUUUGACCACUGACUUUGUCUUUAAGUGAAAUUGUUUGAAUUGAAGGAGAUUUCAAAACGUUUUCUUUCUUUCAAUCAUUCCAUUUCUUUCAAACAUUCAGCUUCUUUCAAAUCCCAACUCUCAGUUGUUUAUUGGGUUAGUAUGGGUCUGUGGCCUUUUCUUCUAGAUGCAAAUGCCCAGACCUUGCAGGUAACAGGAUGAUGUGAUUUAAGCAAACCUGCUUUUGUCUGAGAUUAGGCUGUCUGCAGUCUUUCACACCCAAUACCAAAUGUCUAUUGUCUGAUGUGUUGAGUAUGCUAACAGGCUUCCUGCCUCAUGGAGGUGUUGGCCGGUAUUAUCUUUUUCUGAGAUCUCGUUACAGACAGUUUUUAGGAAUAUGGAGAAUAGCGAUGACAAAAAAGGAAGCAGCUUCUCACCAAGGUCUCGAAAGGGGGACCAUUCCAGAAAAUCAACAGAUGAAGGAACAGCAGAAUCGUUUGAACUUCAAACAAACGCCAUGCAGCAUCUGGCCAGGAC